This 224-nucleotide unclassified non-coding RNA is filed under the name Hevea brasiliensis (rubber tree). The record is from RNAcentral. Lineage: Eukaryota; Viridiplantae; Streptophyta; Magnoliopsida; Malpighiales; Euphorbiaceae.
GCUAAUCAUUCCAUUCCAAUUGUAAAUUCAGUAUAUAUUCAUCUGCUUAAGAGAAGAAUACACAUCAUAUUUUUACAAACAUCAAUUCUCUUCUCCUUUUUCACUCUCUUUUCAUCUUUUUACAGGAUCAAUCAUGCUCCUGUAUUUUAAAUUUUUUUAAGCCUAAAUUUUAUCGGCAUUAAUUUGAAGUUGUUAAUAUAUUAAUAAAGUAACUAGAGUUGUCA